GGAACCAACCGACAUAUUAUAUGAGGCAACACUUUCUUCUUCUCAAACUCAUAGAACUACGAUCGAUGUCCUUUUCCCGAUGAUUAUUUACUGGCCUUUUCAAUUCAAUACUCAAAAGUUUGUUUUCUCCAUCCAUGAAGAAAGUUUAUCAUUUUCUGCUUAGCUUGCUUUUGAUCCAUGAAAUCCUGUGGAUUCAACAGGGAUGCGUGAACAAAGCCUACGUCGCCGUGGCAGCAGCAAGAGUUUUAGAAGAAUCCCUCUCAGGGUUUCAUGCACCAGCUUCUACUUCUUUUUCCGAUGAUCCUCUGUCUCCCUAUGAUUUCAGGGCAGCACUGCGAACCAGGAGACCUGGGCUUUCGCCACAACCUCCGGUGAUCAAUAACUCUCCUCAUUUUUUCAAGAGUCCACCACCUCGACCACCACUGCCGCCACAAGCACCGCCACCACCACCACCAUGUUAAAUUGUUAAUGCAUGUUGGAACAGUCAGAAAUAUAUAUGUAUCCAGUUUCUUUCUCCACCACCUGUUCAGUUGUGCUACCAAUUGCUUGGACCAAUGUAAUAGUAGUAUUAGUGUAGCCAUGUUCUGCUUCAAAUAAAACCAUGAAGCUUCUGUUACUGCUUUGGUCUCCCCGUGCCUUUCUUAAUUUCCAAUAAAAAUUGAAACACUCACGUCCUUGAGUUAAUUAGCAUUUUAAUCUUAAUUAUUUCCUUGCA
Molecule: long non-coding RNA, 715 nt
Filed under: Coffea arabica (coffee)
Lineage: Eukaryota; Viridiplantae; Streptophyta; Magnoliopsida; Gentianales; Rubiaceae
Description: long non-coding RNA (CARA_LNC000930)
Source: RNAcentral